ACACAAGGAAGGAGGUGGUCCGCGAAAUUGUUAGCUUCAUGGACAUGUGAGGUGGCUGCGCGCUAGCACCACUGGCUCGGAGAAGCUAGCAGCCAACGCGCGCUGGCGAAUUCCCCGCAGCCACCCGGCCCCCGAGCUUCCGGUCUUGUCCAACCAGGAGCUUCGCUCGGGGGCCGCUCCAU
RNAcentral lists this small RNA (182 nucleotides) under Mycobacterium sp. 1164966.3. RNAcentral describes it as "Actinobacteria sRNA Ms_IGR-5". It matches the Rfam family "Actinobacteria sRNA Ms_IGR-5". The record is from Rfam by way of RNAcentral. Lineage: Bacteria; Bacillati; Actinomycetota; Actinomycetes; Mycobacteriales; Mycobacteriaceae.